Molecule: ribosomal RNA, 636 nt
Filed under: uncultured bacterium
Lineage: Bacteria
Description: bacterial SSU rRNA
Rfam family: Bacterial small subunit ribosomal RNA (bases 1-535)
Source: RNAcentral
CCUACGGGAGGCAGCAGUGAGGAAUAUUGGACAAUGGGCGCAAGCCUGAUCCAGCCAUGCCGCGUGCAGGAUGACGGUCCUAUGGAUUGUAAACUGCUUUUAUACAGGAAGAAACCACUCUACGUGUAGAGUCUUGACGGUACUGUAAGAAUAAGGAUCGGCUAACUCCGUGCCAGCAGCCGCGGUAAUACGGAGGAUCCAAGCGUUAUCCGGAAUCAUUGGGUUUAAAGGGUCCGUAGGCGGUUUAGUAAGUCAGUGGUGAAAGCCCAUCGCUCAACGGUGGAACGGCCAUUGAUACUGCUAGACUUGAAUUAUUAGGAAGUAACUAGAAUAUGUAGUGUAGCGGUGAAAUGCUUAGAGAUUACAUGGAAUACCAAUUGCGAAGGCAGGUUACUACUAAUUGAUUGACGCUGAUGGACGAAAGCGUGGGUAGCGAACAGGAUUAGAUACCCUGGUAGUCCACGCCGUAAACGAUGGAUACUAGCUGUUGGGGGCGAACUUCAGUGGNGUAGACGAAGUAGAUAAGUAUCUCACCGUGGGAGGUACGACGACGAGUUAGUAACGUACGAAGUAGUAAGUUAGUACGGCGUAGAGACGUUACGCCGACGGACGACCGACGAGGGGAGGGUUAGGGNG